Molecule: ribosomal RNA, 1479 nt
Filed under: uncultured bacterium
Lineage: Bacteria
Description: bacterial SSU rRNA
Rfam family: Bacterial small subunit ribosomal RNA
Source: RNAcentral
UGGCUCAGAUUGAACGCUGGCGGCAGGCCUAACACAUGCAAGUCGAACGGUAACAGGAAGCAGCUUGCUGCUUUGCUGACGAGUGGCGGACGGGUGAGUAAUGUCUGGGAAACUGCCUGAUGGAGGGGGAUAACUACUGGAAACGGUGGCUAAUACCGCAUAACGUCGCAAGACCAAAGAGGGGGACCUUCGGGCCUCUUGCCAUCAGAUGUGCCCAGAUGGGAUUAGCUUGUUGGUGAGGUAACGGCUCACCAAGGCGACGAUCCCUAGCUGGUCUGAGAGGAUGACCAGCCACACUGGAACUGAGACACGGUCCAGACUCCUACGGGAGGCAGCAGUGGGGAAUAUUGCACAAUGGGCGCAAGCCUGAUGCAGCCAUGCCGCGUGUAUGAAGAAGGCCUUCGGGUUGUAAGUACUUUCAGCGGGGAGGAAGGUGUUGCGGUUAAUAACCGCAGCAAUUGACGUUACCCGCAGAAGAAGCACCGGCUAACUCCGUGCCAGCAGCCGCGGUAAUACGGAGGGUGCAAGCGUUAAUCGGAAUUACUGGGCGUAAAGCGCACGCAGGCGGUCUGUCAAGUCGGAUGUGAAAUCCCCGGGCUCAACCUGGGAACUGCAUUCGAAACUGGCAGGCUUGAGUCUUGUAGAGGGGGGUAGAAUUCCAAGUGUAGCGGUGAAAUGCGUAGAGAUCUGGAGGAAUACCGGUGGCGAAGGCGGCCCCCUGGACAAAGACUGACGCUCAGGUGCGAAAGCGUGGGGAGCAAACAGGAUUAGAUACCCUGGUAGUCCACGCCGUAAACGAUGUCUACUUGGAGGUUGUGCCCUUGAGGCGUGGCUUCCGGAGCUAACGCGUUAAGUAGACCGCCUGGGGAGUACGGCCGCAAGGUUAAAACUCAAAUGAAUUGACGGGGGCCCGCACAAGCGGUGGAGCAUGUGGUUUAAUUCGAUGCAACGCGAAGAACCUUACCUGGUCUUGACAUCCACAGAAGAAUCCAGAGAUGGAUUUGUGCCUUCGGGAACUGUGAGACAGGUGCUGCAUGGCUGUCGUCAGCUCGUGUUGUGAAAUGUUGGGUUAAGUCCCGCAACGAGCGCAACCCUUAUCCUUUGUUGCCAGCGAUUAGGUCGGGAACUCAAAGGAGACUGCCAGUGAUAAACUGGAGGGAGGUGGGGAUGACGUCGAGUCAUCAUGGCCCUUACGACCAGGGCUACACACGUGCUACAAUGGCGCAUACAAAGAGAAGCGACCUCGCGAGAGCAAGCGGACCUCAUAAAGUGCGUCGUAGUCCGGAUUGGAGUCUGCAACUCGACUCCAUGAAGUCGGAAUCGCUAGUAAUCGUGGAUCAGAAUGCCACGGUGAAUACGUUCCCGGGCCUUGUACACACCGCCCGUCACACCAUGGGAGUGGGUUGCAAAAGAAGUAGGUAGCUUAACCUUCGGGAGGGCGCUUACCACUUUGUGAUUCAUGACUGGGGUGAAGUCGUA